CCUACGGGAGGCAGCAGUGGGGAAUAUUGCACAAUGGGGGAAAGCCUGAUGCAGCGACGCCGCGUGAGUGAUGAAGGACUUCGGGUCGUAAAGCUCUGUCAUCAGGGAAGAAAAUGACGGUACUUGAGUAGGAAGCCCCGGCUAACUACGUGCCAGCAGCCGCGGUAAUACGUAGGGGGCGAGCGUUAUCCGGAAUUACUGGGUGAAAAGGGUGCGUAGAUGGUUUGCUAAGUCGGAGGUGAAAGGCGAGGGCUCAACCCUGGUAAGCCUUUGAAACUGGGAAGCUUGAGUGCAGGAGAGGUAAGUGGAAUUCCUAGUGUAGCGGUGAAAUGCGUAGAUAUUAGGAGGAACACCAGUGGCGAAGGCGGCUGUCUGGACUGUAACUGACGCUGAGGCACGAAAGCGUGGGGAGCAAACAGGAUUAGAUACCCUUGUAGUC
This 439-nucleotide ribosomal RNA is filed under the name uncultured bacterium. RNAcentral's name for it is "partial 16S ribosomal RNA". It matches the Rfam family "Bacterial small subunit ribosomal RNA", at positions 338 to 795 of the family's 1533-position model. The record is from RNAcentral.